UGGGGAAUUUUGGACAAUGGGCGAAAGCCUGAUCCAGCAAUGCCGCGUGUGUGAAGAAGGCCUUCGGGUUGUAAAGCACUUUUGUCCGGAAAGAAAUCCUUGGCUCUAAUACAGUCGGGGGAUGACGGUACCGGAAGAAUAAGCACCGGCUAACUACGUGCCAGCAGCCGCGGUAAUACGUAGGGUGCAAGCGUUAAUCGGAAUUACUGGGCGUAAAGCGUGCGCAGGCGGUUUGCUAAGACCGAUGUGAAAUCCCCGGGCUCAACCUGGGAACUGCAUUGGUGACUGGCAGGCUAGAGUAUGGCAGAGGGGGGUAGAAUUCCACGUGUAGCAGUGAAAUGCGUAGAGAUGUGGAGGAAUACCGAUGGCGAAGGCAGCCCCCUGGGCCAAUACUGACGCUCAUGCACGAAAGCGUGGGGAGCAAAACAGGAUUAGAUACCCUGGUAGUCCACGCCCUAAAACGAUGUCAACUAGUUGUUGGGGAUUCAUUUCCUUAGUAACGUAGCUAACGCGUGAAGUUGACCGCCUGGGGAGUACGUCGCAAGAUUAAAACUCAAA
RNAcentral lists this ribosomal RNA (558 nucleotides) under uncultured bacterium. RNAcentral describes it as "partial 16S ribosomal RNA". It matches the Rfam family "Bacterial small subunit ribosomal RNA", at positions 355 to 905 of the family's 1533-position model. The record is from RNAcentral.